RNAcentral lists this long non-coding RNA (1191 nucleotides) under Anser brachyrhynchus (Pink-footed goose). RNAcentral describes it as "lncRNA (ENSABRG00000000909.1)". The record is from RNAcentral. Lineage: Eukaryota; Metazoa; Chordata; Aves; Anseriformes; Anatidae.
AUGCUGUCGGCCGAGCACCACAUAAGGCAGGCCCCGCGAUCACAGGCUCCCAGGAAAGUUUCCAAGCCUUCAUGUGCUGCGUGCUUUGCCUCCGGCUGCCAAGAGGAUGAAUUUUUUUUGCUUUUCGCCCUGGGGAUGCUUUUCCUAAAAGCACACAGCUCUCAAACAGGAGGGGAAGGGAGGGUUCGGGAUAAAGAUGAGUCUAUUCUGUGCACCGAAACAUUUCCCCAGGACUUGAGCGAACGUCGCUGCCCCACUGCCUCCUCCCUCGUCUCCUGCCUCUGCUGGAGCAGACACAAAGAGCCGGCUCCCAGCCGUGCCUCUCCCCACGGCGGGGCUGGGGGGGGGCUGCGCCUCCCUGCAGCUGGCUCAAAGCUGGCUGAGCGGGGUGGCAAAACGGGCGCUACGUGCCCCGGGAACGGGAUCCGGGCUCUGCCUUUUGGGUGGGGGCGCAGGGCUCUGCCGCUGAAACUCAGAAAACCUCGCUGGACAUCACCCCUGGGGCACCGAGAAGUUGUGUGGCUACGCUGUGCCACCUGGCUCACCGCUCGGGACCUCAGCAGCCCCCUGCCCCGUUCCCCUGCAGCCCCCUGCCCCGUUCCCCUGCAGACCCCGCUGGAAACCAGGAGCUCAGCACCCCGGUGCCCGCGGUGCACGAAGCGCCGGGAGCAGCCCCAGCUCCGGAGGUGUGCGCUCUCCUCCCGGCCUCUCUCCCCCUCCUCGCACACUUUUCCUGCUGCUUUCCCAGGCAGGGGAUUGCCCAGGGCACGGCUCGGGCUGCGCAGCCCCCCCUGGCCCCCCCCAGCUCUCCUACCAGGCUGGAGAGCAAGACCCGAGCCUGUGUGUGGUUGGGAGCGCAGGUUGGAGCAGGGGGGGGACCAGGGGGUCCUCGCUCGCCCCCACAGAAAGCGCCUGGCAGCAGCCCCAACGCCGCCGCGCACGGGACUUUCUUCUGGCUCGCAGCCCCUUCCACCCCUAGCCUUUCCCCAUGCUGAGCAAAACUCCUGCGAAAUAAAAGGGAAAAGGGAAAGGAAACAAAAGACUCCAGCUGCUGAAGAACAGAAAACCCAACAGAGGAGAGAGAAAAGGACCGGCAAACGCCGCUGUGCGUGUAAGAGAGGCCGGAGAGGGCAGGAGCGUCGUGGACCAGUGCAGCAUCCAGGCUCGACCAGGUACUCAGCUGGGCACUGA